This 2760-nucleotide ribosomal RNA is filed under the name Klebsiella pneumoniae. Its description in RNAcentral is "bacterial LSU rRNA". It matches the Rfam family "Bacterial large subunit ribosomal RNA". The record is from RNAcentral. Lineage: Bacteria; Pseudomonadati; Pseudomonadota; Gammaproteobacteria; Enterobacterales; Enterobacteriaceae.
CACACUAUCGUUAACUGAAUACAUAGGUUAACGAGGCGAACCGGGGGAACUGAAACAUCUAAGUACCCCGAGGAAAAGAAAUCAACCGAGAUUCCCCCAGUAGCGGCGAGCGAACGGGGAGCAGCCCAGAGUCUGAAUCAGCUUGUGUGUUAGUGGAACGGUCUGGAAAGUCCGACGGUACAGGGUGAUAGUCCCGUACACCAAAAUGCACAGGUUGUGAACUCGAAGAGUAGGGCGGGACACGUGGUAUCCUGUCUGAAUAUGGGGGGACCAUCCUCCAAGGCUAAAUACUCCUGACUGACCGAUAGUGAACCAGUACCGUGAGGGAAAGGCGAAAAGAACCCCGGCGAGGGGAGUGAAAAAGAACCUGAAACCGUGUACGUACAAGCAGUGGGAGCACCUUCGGGUGUGACUGCGUACCUUUUGUAUAAUGGGUCAGCGACUUAUAUUCUGUAGCAAGGUUAACCGUAUAGGGGAGCCGCAGGGAAACCGAGUCUUAACUGGGCGUUAAGUUGCAGGGUAUAGACCCGAAACCCGGUGAUCUAGCCAUGGGCAGGUUGAAGGUUGGGUAACACUAACUGGAGGACCGAACCGACUAAUGUUGAAAAAUUAGCGGAUGACUUGUGGCUGGGGGUGAAAGGCCAAUCAAACCGGGAGAUAGCUGGUUCUCCCCGAAAGCUAUUUAGGUAGCGCCUCGUGAACUCAUCUUCGGGGGUAGAGCACUGUUUCGGCUAGGGGGUCAUCCCGACUUACCAACCCGAUGCAAACUACGAAUACCGAAGAAUGUUAUCACGGGAGACACACGGCGGGUGCUAACGUCCGUCGUGAAGAGGGAAACAACCCAGACCGCCAGCUAAGGUCCCAAAGUCAUGGUUAAGUGGGAAACGAUGUGGGAAGGCACAGACAGCCAGGAUGUUGGCUUAGAAGCAGCCAUCAUUUAAAGAAAGCGUAAUAGCUCACUGGUCGAGUCGGCCUGCGCGGAAGAUGUAACGGGGCUAAACCAUGCACCGAAGCUGCGGCAGCGACACUAUGUGUUGUUGGGUAGGGGAGCGUUCUGUAAGCCUGCGAAGGUGUGCUGUGAGGCAUGCUGGAGGUAUCAGAAGUGCGAAUGCUGACAUAAGUAACGAUAAAGCGGGUGAAAAGCCCGCUCGCCGGAAGACCAAGGGUUCCUGUCCAACGUUAAUCGGGGCAGGGUGAGUCGACCCCUAAGGCGAGGCCGAAAGGCGUAGUCGAUGGGAAACAGGUUAAUAUUCCUGUACUUGGUGUUACUGCGAAGGGGGGACGGAGAAGGCUAUGUUAGCCGGGCGACGGUUGUCCCGGUUUAAGCAUGUAGGCUGGUUGUCCAGGCAAAUCCGGAUAAUCAAGGCUGAGGUGUGAUGACGAGGCACUACGGUGCUGAAGUAACAAAUGCCCUGCUUCCAGGAAAAGCCUCUAAGCAUCAGGUAACAUUAAAUCGUACCCCAAACCGACACAGGUGGUCAGGUAGAGAAUACCAAGGCGCUUGAGAGAACUCGGGUGAAGGAACUAGGCAAAAUGGUGCCGUAACUUCGGGAGAAGGCACGCUGGUGUGUAGGUGAAGUCCCUGCGGAUGGAGCUGAGACCAGUCGAAGAUACCAGCUGGCUGCAACUGUUUAUUAAAAACACAGCACUGUGCAAACACGAAAGUGGACGUAUACGGUGUGACGCCUGCCCGGUGCCGGAAGGUUAAUUGAUGGGGUUAUCCGUAAGGAGAAGCUCUUGAUCGAAGCCCCGGUAAACGGCGGCCGUAACUAUAACGGUCCUAAGGUAGCGAAAUUCCUUGUCGGGUAAGUUCCGACCUGCACGAAUGGCGUAAUGAUGGCCAGGCUGUCUCCACCCGAGACUCAGUGAAAUUGAACUCGCUGUGAAGAUGCAGUGUACCCGCGGCAAGACGGAAAGACCCCGUGAACCUUUACUAUAGCUUGACACUGAACAUUGAGCCUUGAUGUGUAGGAUAGGUGGGAGGCUUUGAAGCGUGGACGCCAGUCUGCGUGGAGCCAACCUUGAAAUACCACCCUUUAAUGUUUGAUGUUCUAACGUUGGCCCCUUACCGGGGUUGCGGACAGUGUCUGGUGGGUAGUUUGACUGGGGCGGUCUCCUCCCAAAGCGUAACGGAGGAGCACGAAGGUUAGCUAAUCCUGGUCGGACAUCAGGAGGUUAGUGCAAUGGCAUAAGCUAGCUUGACUGCGAGCGUGACGGCGCGAGCAGGUGCGAAAGCAGGUCAUAGUGAUCCGGUGGUUCUGAAUGGAAGGGCCAUCGCUCAACGGAUAAAAGGUACUCCGGGGAUAACAGGCUGAUACCGCCCAAGAGUUCAUAUCGACGGCGGUGUUUGGCACCUCGAUGUCGGCUCAUCACAUCCUGGGGCUGAAGUAGGUCCCAAGGGUAUGGCUGUUCGCCAUUUAAAGUGGUACGCGAGCUGGGUUUAGAACGUCGUGAGACAGUUCGGUCCCUAUCUGCCGUGGGCGCUGGAGAAUUGAGGGGGGCUGCUCCUAGUACGAGAGGACCGGAGUGGACGCAUCACUGGUGUUCGGGUUGUCAUGCCAAUGGCACUGCCCGGUAGCUAAAUGCGGAAGAGAUAAGUGCUGAAAGCAUCUAAGCACGAAACUUGCCCCGAGAUGAGUUCUCCCUGAGACUUUAAGUCUCCUGAAGGAACGUUAAAGACGAUGACGUUGAUAGGCCGGGUGUGUAAGCGCAGCGAUGCGUUGAGCUAACCGGUACUAAUGAACCGUGAGGCUUAACCUU